This 328-nucleotide ribosomal RNA is filed under the name uncultured eukaryote. Its description in RNAcentral is "partial 18S ribosomal RNA". It matches the Rfam family "Eukaryotic small subunit ribosomal RNA", at positions 1470 to 1796 of the family's 1831-position model. The record is from RNAcentral.
CCCUUAGAUGUCCUGGGCCGCACGCGCGUUACACUGAUGCAUUCAACGAGCUUAUAACCUUGGCCGAGAGGCCUGGGCAAUCUUGUUAACGUGCAUCGUGAUAGGGAUAGAUUAUUGAAAUUAUUAAUCUUGAACGAGGAAUUCCUAGUAAACGCAGAUCAUCAAUCUGCAUUGAUUACGUCCCUGCCCUAUGUACACACCGCCCGUCGCACCUACCGAUUGGAUGGUCCGGUGAAGCCUCGGGAUUGUGGUUCUUGCCGCUUUAUUGUGGCGUGACCGCGAGAACUUGUCUAAACCUUAUCAUCUAGAGGAAGGUGAAGUCGUAACA